UUAUUAUUAUUAUUAUUAUUAUUGUUAUUAUUUUGGAGGGGUGGGGGGUGGUUGGGAGGAGGAGAAAGGUAAAUGAAUUAGUAGUACAUGAGAUCCAAAGGGAAACAAAUUGAUCGCCCAUACAAUGUUUCAAACAAGCAAGAAAAAAAAGACCUACUUACAGCAUUUACAGCCCACAUCAGCAAUAGGAUGAUCUCUCUUCACUGUUGUCUUACAUCUGCUACUAAUUUAAAACAACUGUUCACUUCUCAAUCAACAAGCAACUGAAUUCAUUUUACUGCAAGAUAUUAGUCUCCUAUCAAAGUAAGCAUCAAAAGCUAAUAAUAACAUGAGUAAUGCAUAAUGUAGUCUGCUAAAGGUACCAUAAAGUCUGAAUCAGAGAAAAUCAAAACCUGAGUUCCAGCUAUAGCAAGAUGUUAGGAUCAUUUUCUCAGCCAUGUGCCAAUAAACAUAAAACCUUCUUUGAGCAUAUUGUAUGACGACGAUAGAAAGCACACCUGUAGACAGCCAUGCCCACAGCAUGAAUGCUAACAAGUGUGCUCUCUCUCAUCGUCAACCAAUUAUGCCAAAGCUAAGGCAACCAUGAAAAGGAGAUGACCCAAUAACUAGGAAAUCUUCAUAACUAGAAUCUUUCAAAGCAACCAGAAAAUGGAAAAACAAAGUUCCAGAAAAUUCCAGGCACAACACCAAGAAAUGGAAACAAAGUUCCAGAAAACUCCAGGCACAACACAUAUAUGAUGAAAGUAAAGCACAAGAGCACCGGUAAGCACCAGCUCAACGGCUUUUAUAGAUCCAAAAAAUGCACAAUUGAAAUGGAGGAUACAGUGUAUAAGAUUCUUCGAGUUGAAAGCAAUAAAGAAAGGUGCUUUCUUUGCAAGGAAGAGGAUGAUAAGAUAAGGUGAAACGGCCAUGGGGCAAAAGAAAGAAAAAGAUUAGCAAAAGCGAUUAGUGGUAUAAUGAUGGAGGGAAUUGAUUUCUCUUCCGCACUGACAAUUACGUUUCCACCGUGGAACUUUGAUUGGUGCAUGUUCUUCCACCUGUGUACCCAUUCUUCUGUUAUUUCACAUUGUACCCAUCCUUCUUACUCUUUGAAUAUAUGAGCCUAAAGCAAG
RNAcentral lists this unclassified non-coding RNA (1112 nucleotides) under Hevea brasiliensis (rubber tree). The stretch from base 468 to 562 matches the Rfam family "MIR535 microRNA precursor family". Lineage: Eukaryota; Viridiplantae; Streptophyta; Magnoliopsida; Malpighiales; Euphorbiaceae. The record is from RNAcentral.